CGGAGUAAAUUGAUUGACUCUGGCAUCAAGGGCUAGGGGUACAGGCAGAAAUAUGGAGUUAAGGGCACAAAGGAUCAGGUAUAAAUUUUUGACUGGUGGACCCUCUCUCCAAAGGGAGAAAUAGCCUACUCUGGCCCCUCUUUGACUCUUCGCAGGAGCAUUAUUAAAGAAAGAUUUGACACUAUGAACAGCUACUCCAUUCAAAGGUCGUCAUCCAAUUUUCUCUGGAAAGGACUGAUGGAUACUGCAUUGGUCUUGUGAAAUUUCAUAUUCAGCAGAGAAUAAACAGAAAGAAAAUUUGGCAAAAGAAAGGAUGUAAAGGUUACGAAUGGUGCAUUUAACAAAAUCUAAAGAAAAUGAACUAAAUGAGAAAAAGGCUAUUUGUUGAUUCAAGCUCUCCUUAGCUCAUUUCAUCUGUGGUUUUAAAGCUCCAUACAUCUCCGUCACCUAUUUCUCACCUAGCAGGUAUUAUUAUAGACAUCUAUCACAAUUUCAGUCAGCUAUACAUUCGGAACUGACAUGCAGGGAAAGACCAUCUGAUUCCUGCAUGAUGAUUGUUCAACAAUUUGUCUCUCAGAUGAUCAAAACCAAUCUGGCACAUCAUAUGGAUCAAAGCCAACCAUCACCUUCUCUGAAUAAUGAACAGCAGAUACAAAUACAGUCCCAUGGCCUCUAUUUUACACUGCAACAAUUCUGUGAUUCUGUCUGCUGAAUGAUUCAGUCUCCAGCCCAGUCAACAGUUGGUGAAAAGUUCAUGUUACCAUAGCCCUAGUUGACCAUGGGGCUACUCUCCCAUUAGAGGGAGGUAGUUUAACUUACAGGUCACCACACCUCAGGCAAGGGGAGAGUUUGAGAAGCAGAGUCGUGCUGGCAACCUCAGCCAGAGCAAGAAUUGAACCUAUGUUGGUGGGGUUACCCUACAUUCUAAAACAGCUGUCCAACCAACUGAGAUAAUCAACCAGCAUGCUACAUAAUUCAACUUCUUUUUCAAGCUAUAUGAGAGUCAAUAUGCGCAAUGUCUGUCAGCUGAGGCAGCAGUUAGUGGCCAUCUAUUUUGAGUUUCUUCGAAGCAGUUUGUCGAGAUCCUGACUGAUUUCCACCUUAUCGCAACGUUAUGCUCAUGGAUUUCCAAAUAUUCGGCUUCUAUAUAUCAAUGCUGUUUUGAUGGCAACAAGAACUGGUUCAAGAUGCAAGUUCACUCUAGUUGAGUUCCUAAUGAACAGGGUCAAAGAACAAGUGAUGACUUCUGAUCUCUGAUUAUCUUUGGACAAUCGCAACUCAUGUUGCAUGGGUUGAAAUCACCCGUGGUAAUCAUAUUAUUGUCAUUACAUAUUCUUCUUAUUUCAUCAUAGGAAAUGUUAUCUUCAUCUUUAUUCUUCCCUGGAGGUCUGUAACAGAUUCCUAUCGCUCAUUUUAUCCUAUGCAAGCUUCUUAAUUCAAGCCAGAUUAUUUCAUUUUAAGGCUUUCCUGAGGACAUCAAUUCAGCUUCCUUCAUCUCCAAAUGAUCCUGAACAUCUUUCUCCUUAUCCUUCCAUUCCCAUCCUUCCUGAAAAUUCUGUGGCGUCCAACAUUGAAUUCCCUAUUGUCUUCUGGGUCACGCCAGCUUUUACUAAUCAUAAUGUAAUCAUAAUUUCC
Molecule: long non-coding RNA, 1635 nt
Organism: Rhincodon typus (whale shark)
Lineage: Eukaryota; Metazoa; Chordata; Chondrichthyes; Orectolobiformes; Rhincodontidae
Exons: 4
Source: RefSeq, a predicted model, not a curated record